This 274-nucleotide ribosomal RNA is filed under the name uncultured bacterium. Its description in RNAcentral is "partial 16S ribosomal RNA". It matches the Rfam family "Bacterial small subunit ribosomal RNA", at positions 523 to 796 of the family's 1533-position model. The record is from RNAcentral.
CUACGGAGGGGGCUAGCGUUGUUCGGAAUUACUGGGCGUAAAGCACGUGUAGGCGGAUCGUUAAGUCAGGGGUGAAAGCCCGGGGCUCAACCCCGGAACUGCCCUUGAUACUGGCGAUCUAGAGUCCGGAAGAGGUGGGCGGAAUUCCCGGUGUAGAGGUGAAAUUCGUAGAUAUCGGGAGGAACACCAGUGGCGAAGGCGGCUCACUGGUCCGGCACUGACGCUGAGACGCGAAAGCGUGGGGAGCAAACAGAAUUAGAUACCCCAGUAGUCC